RNAcentral lists this ribosomal RNA (468 nucleotides) under uncultured bacterium. Its description in RNAcentral is "partial 16S ribosomal RNA". It matches the Rfam family "Bacterial small subunit ribosomal RNA", at positions 28 to 507 of the family's 1533-position model. The record is from RNAcentral.
GACGAACGCUGGCGGCGUGCUUAACACAUGCAAGUCGAACGGAAAGGCCCUGCUUUUGUGGGGUGCUCGAGUGGCGAACGGGUGAGUAACACGUGAGUAACCUGCCCUUGACUUUGGGAUAACGUCAGGAAACUGGGUCUAAUACCGGAUAGGAGCUCCUGCUGCAUGGUGGGGGUUGGAAAGUUUCGGCGGUUGGGGAUGGACUCGCGGCUUAUCAGCUUGUUGGUGGGGUAGUGGCUUACCAAGGCUUUGACGGGUAGCCGGCCUGGGAGGGGGACCGGGCACAUUGGGACUGAGAGACGGCCCAGUCGCCUACGGGGGGCAGCAGGGGGGAAUAUUGCACAAUGGGCGGAAGCCUGAUGCAGAGACGCCGCGUGCGGGAUGACGGCCUUCGGGUUGUAAACCGCUUCCGCCUGUGACGAAGCGUGAGUGACGGUAAUGGGUAAAGAAGCACCGGCUAACUACGUG